AAUGAACGCUGGCGGCGUGGUUAAGACAUGCAAGUCGAACGGUUUUCAUUGAAGGGCAACCGGAUAUGAAAGCAGUGGCGAACGGGUGCGUAACACGUGAACAAUCUACCUCCAAGUGGGGAAUAGCUCGCCGAAAGGCGAAUUAAUACCGCAUGUGGUCGGGGCUCGCAUGAGCCUUGAACUAAAGUCAGGGACCGCAAGGCCUGACGCUCGGAGAGGAGUUCGCGGCCUAUCAGCUAGUUGGCGAGGUAACGG
This 255-nucleotide ribosomal RNA is filed under the name uncultured bacterium. RNAcentral's name for it is "partial 16S ribosomal RNA". It matches the Rfam family "Bacterial small subunit ribosomal RNA", at positions 29 to 263 of the family's 1533-position model. The record is from RNAcentral.